UUUUAUGAGAGUUUGAUCCUGGCUCAGGACGAACGCUGGCGGCGUGCCUAAUACAUGCAAGUCGAACGCUUCUUUUUCCACCGGAGCUUGCUCCACCGGAAAAAGAGGAGUGGCGAACGGGUGAGUAACACGUGGGUAACCUGCCCAUCAGAAGGGGAUAACACUUGGAAACAGGUGCUAAUACCGUAUAACAAUUGAAACCGCAUGGUUUUGAUUUGAAAGGCGCUUUCGGGUGUCGCUGAUGGAUGGACCCGCGGUGCAUUAGCUAGUUGG
RNAcentral lists this ribosomal RNA (273 nucleotides) under Enterococcus hirae. RNAcentral describes it as "partial 16S ribosomal RNA". It matches the Rfam family "Bacterial small subunit ribosomal RNA", at positions 1 to 252 of the family's 1533-position model. Lineage: Bacteria; Bacillati; Bacillota; Bacilli; Lactobacillales; Enterococcaceae. The record is from RNAcentral.